AACGAACGCUGGCGGCAUGCCUAACACAUGCAAGUCGAACGAGAGCUUCGGCUCUAGUGGCGCACGGGUGCGUAACGCGUGGGAAUCUGCUCUUGGGUUCGGAAUAACAGUUGGAAACGACUGCUAAUACCGGAUGAUGACGUAAGUCCAAAGAUUCAUCGCCCUGGGAUGAGCCCGCGUCGGAUUAGCUAGUUGGUGGGGUAAAGGCCUACCAAGGCGACGAUCCGUAGCUGGUCUGAGAGGAUGAUCAGCCACACUGGGACUGAGACACGGCCCAGACUCCUACGGGAGGCAGCAGUGGGGAAUAUUGGACAAUGGGCGCAAGCCUGAUCCAGCAAUGCCGCGUGAGUGAUGAAGGCCUUAGGGUUGUAAAGCUCUUUUACCUGGGAAGAUAAUGACUGUACCGGGAGAAUAAGCCCCGGCUAACUCCGUGCCAGCCGCCGCGGUAA
Molecule: ribosomal RNA, 449 nt
Filed under: uncultured bacterium
Lineage: Bacteria
Description: partial 16S ribosomal RNA
Rfam family: Bacterial small subunit ribosomal RNA
Source: RNAcentral